This 607-nucleotide ribosomal RNA is filed under the name Amphidoma languida. RNAcentral describes it as "partial large subunit ribosomal RNA". It matches the Rfam family "Eukaryotic large subunit ribosomal RNA", at positions 35 to 509 of the family's 3401-position model. The record is from RNAcentral. Lineage: Eukaryota; Dinophyceae; Gonyaulacales; Amphidomataceae.
UAAGCAUAUAAGUAAGCGGAGGAAAAGAAACUAAAUAGGAUUCCCUUAGUAAUGGCGAAUGAACAGGGAUCAGCUCAGUAUGGAAAUCGGGGCUUCCCAGCCUUGAAUUGUAGUCUCAAGAGGUAUCGCCAACGGAGGCGCAGAUGUAAGCCUCUUGGAAAAGAGCAUCAAUGAGGGUGAGAAUCCCGUUUGUCAUCUGCAGUCCCCCGUGCACGGUGUAUCUUCUAAGAGUCGCGUUCCUCGGGAUUGGAGCGUAAAGUGGGUGGUAAAUUUCAUCUAAGGCUAAAUAUGGGUUCGAGACCGAUAGCAAACAAGUACCAUGAGGGAAAGAUGAAAAGGACUUUGAAAAGAGAGUUAAAAGUGCCUGAAAUUGCUGAAAGGGAAGCGAAUGGAACCAGUGCUCUUGGCGAGAUUGUUGUGCGCUAUGGUGAUUGCUGGCUGCUUCAGCGCAAGCGGGGUAGUUGGUACUGAGCCUGCCGCGCGCAGUGUUUCUUACCUUGUGCGUCACCGUCGGUUCACAGGCGAGGAUACUUCCUGAGGACAUGGUAACUCUUCCACGGAGGUGUGAAUGUCUUUGGUAAUACUCGUUUGUAGACCGCUCACCUUC